CAGUAGCCACGGGAAUACGUAGGGUGCAAGCGUUAAUCGGAAUUACUGGGCGUAAAGCGUGCGCAGGCGGUUUGUUAAGGCAGAUGUGAAAUCCCCGGGCUCAACCUGGGAACUGCAUUUGUGACUGGCAAGCUAGAGUGUGGCAGAGGGGGGUGGAAUUCCGCGUGUAGCAGUGAAAUGCGUAGAUAUGCGGAGGAACACCGAUGGCGGAGGCAGCCCCCUGGGCCAACACUGACGCUCAUGCACGAAAGCGUGGGGAGCAAACAGGAUUAGAUACCCGUGUAGUCCCUGUCUCUUAUAC
RNAcentral lists this ribosomal RNA (301 nucleotides) under uncultured bacterium. Its description in RNAcentral is "partial 16S ribosomal RNA". It matches the Rfam family "Bacterial small subunit ribosomal RNA", at positions 509 to 807 of the family's 1533-position model. The record is from RNAcentral.